UGAGUGCAGGAUUUUGAUGACAUGGAUAAGCGCUUGAAGGAUAUAGAAGAUGAAACUGCUGCUAUUAAAGAGAUGCAAGCCAAGGUCAAGAAGGAGAUGGGAUCUGCUCAGGAUGCAGGUAGUAGUGUAUGUUAUUGAGAGAUAAGCUAAGAUCGAUCAAGGAAUCAUUCAUCAAUAAUAAUGAACUAAUCUUCAAACAAUAAUAACUGGCUUUCAUUCCCUC
This is a non-coding RNA of Arachis ipaensis, 223 nucleotides long. The record is from RefSeq and is a predicted model, not a curated record. NCBI's taxonomy places the organism in Eukaryota, Viridiplantae, Streptophyta, Magnoliopsida, Fabales, Fabaceae.